This 340-nucleotide long non-coding RNA is filed under the name Astyanax mexicanus (Mexican tetra). Its description in RNAcentral is "lncRNA (ENSAMXG00005018788.1)". The record is from RNAcentral. Lineage: Eukaryota; Metazoa; Chordata; Actinopteri; Characiformes; Acestrorhamphidae.
UAUGCUGAGUUAUGGGAAAAUGCGCUACGCUGGAAUCACAGCUUAUUCAAUCAUGACCUGAUUUUAAUGAGCUGAUUUUGUGUGUGUUGUGAUUAAACAGGGGGCUAAAGGGCCUCCGGGGGACCUGGGACCAGAUGGAGAGCAAGGACCUGAGGGGCCUCCAGGACCUGAAGGAGAGCAGGGGCCUGCUGGAGAACCUGGAGCCAAGGGUGAAGCAGGGCCAGUGGGUGCAGAAGGGGAGCAAGGACAGCAGGGCUUAAGGGGGCUUCCAGGUCCAGCAGGAGAAGACGGACCUCAGGGAAAGGACGGACCAAAGGUCAGUCAGCAUUUCUGUCAUUAA